This 293-nucleotide ribosomal RNA is filed under the name uncultured Jakobida. RNAcentral's name for it is "partial small subunit ribosomal RNA". It matches the Rfam family "Eukaryotic small subunit ribosomal RNA", at positions 70 to 374 of the family's 1831-position model. The record is from RNAcentral. Lineage: Eukaryota; Jakobea; Jakobida.
GGGCUUAGACCCCGUAACCUGCGAAUGGCUCAUUAAACAAGUUAUAAUCCAUUGGAUUGGGAGUGAUUUGCACAUGGAUAACUGUGCUAACUGUAGAGCUAAUACAUGCGUUGAACCGGCCGCAAGGCCGGUGCAUUUAUUAGAUACCCGCCAACCCGGGCAACCGGUGAGGAGGAGUCAUAAUAACUGAGCGAAUCGCUCGCAAGGGCGAUGCAUCCAUCGAAUUUCUUCCCUAUCAGCUUGACGGUUGUGUAGUGGACCACCGUGGCGGCAACGGGUAACGGGGAAUGGGG